CCCAAGGAUCAAAUGCUAAAAUCGCGACAUCAUUCGCUGCGCAUUUGCGACCUGCGUCCUGCAGG
Molecule: small RNA, 65 nt
Filed under: Domibacillus iocasae
Lineage: Bacteria; Bacillati; Bacillota; Bacilli; Caryophanales; Bacillaceae
Description: Bacillaceae-1 RNA
Rfam family: Bacillaceae-1 RNA
Source: Rfam by way of RNAcentral